AGGGCACCACCAGGAGUGGAGCCUGCGGCUUAAUUUGACUCAACACGGGAAAACUCACCCGGCCCGGACACUGGAAGGAUUGACAGAUUGAGAGCUCUUUCUUGAUUCAGUGGGUGGUGGUGCAUGGCCGUUCUUAGUUGGUGGAGUGAUUUGUCUGGUUAAUUCCGAUAACGAACGAGACUCUAGCCUACUAAAUAGAUCGUCGGCUUACAAACGCCGACGAGACUUCUUAGAGGGACAGGCGGCGAUUCAACCGCACGAAACAGAGCAAUAACAGGUCUGUGAUGCCCUUAGAUGUCCGGGGCCGCACGCGCGCUACACUGAAGUGAUCAGCGUGCUUUUGUCAACCUACUCUGUCAAGAGUGGGGAACCCAAUGAACCUUCUUCGUGAUUGGGAUAGGGGAUUGUAAUUAUUCCCCUUGAACGAGGAAUUCCCAGUAAGCGCGAGUCAUAAGCUCGCGUUGAUUACGUCCCUGCCCUUUGUACACACCGCCCGUCGCUACUACCGAUUGAAUGUUU
This 519-nucleotide ribosomal RNA is filed under the name uncultured eukaryote. Its description in RNAcentral is "SSU rRNA". It matches the Rfam family "Eukaryotic small subunit ribosomal RNA", at positions 1161 to 1698 of the family's 1831-position model. The record is from RNAcentral.